RNAcentral lists this non-coding RNA (26 nucleotides) under Mus musculus (house mouse). The record is from RNAcentral. Lineage: Eukaryota; Metazoa; Chordata; Mammalia; Rodentia; Muridae.
UUGCAGGCGUGACCUAUAGGGGCAGA